CUGAGAGGCUUCGGCCGAUCUCUAACCCAUGUUUAUCUUCCAUGUUGCCUCGGCAGAUCGCUUUUGCCGCUAGUUUGCCAGCGAGUAUCUGCCGAUGGAUUUUUUCAAACAGUUUGAAAGUUUUCUGAAAUUAUACAAAUUUUA
RNAcentral lists this unclassified non-coding RNA (144 nucleotides) under uncultured fungus. RNAcentral describes it as "sequence contains ITS1, 5.8S rRNA gene". The record is from RNAcentral. Lineage: Eukaryota; Fungi.